Molecule: non-coding RNA, 910 nt
Filed under: Chlamydosaurus kingii (frilled dragon)
Lineage: Eukaryota; Metazoa; Chordata; Lepidosauria; Squamata; Agamidae
Source: RNAcentral
AAAGCCUUGGUCCCAGGCUUAGAGUUAUCUACAACCAUACCUAUACAUGCAAGCAUCCACACCCCAGUGAGUACGCCCUGACAAACAACCCAGGAGCCGGCAUCAGGGACUUCCCUAAGACGCCUAGCAUACCAGCCACAUCCCCACGGACAUGCAGCAGUAACAAACAUUAGGCCAUGGGCCACCAACACCCUUAAACCCGACCUAGCAAUGGUUAACAGAGUCGGCCAACAUCCGUGCCAGCAGCCGCGGCUAAACGGCUUCAAGGACUCAAGAUAACACCAACGGUACAAAAAGUGGCUAGGACCUUAAACCAUUAAACUUAAGAAUAAAUUAGAGCUACUACGUGAUACAAAACCACAUGAGAAACCCAACACAAGAUCUUAAAACCAAUGGUUAUCCAACCCACGAAGGCUAAGAAACAAACUAGGAUUAGACACCCUACUAUGCUUAGCUGUAAACAUCACACCCACCAGAAAAGUAGAGGCCACAGCCCGAAACUCAAAAGACCUGGCGGUACCCCAUACCAACCUAGAGGAGCCUGUGCUAUAAUCGAUAACCCGCGAUCAACCUCACCACCCCUUGCAAUUUCCAGCCUGUAUACCGCCGUCGUCAGCCUAUCUCCCAAGAGAACGGAGCAAAACAACCUCACCCAUAAAAACGACAGGUCAAGGUGCAGCUUACGAGGUGGCACGCAUGGGCUACAAUGCCAAUAACACUGGCCAAACGGUAUCCAAACUGAACCCUAAAUUUGGAUAAAAGCAGGAUUUAGUAGUAAGAUCACUAAGAACACUGAUCUGAAACCACGCUCUGGGGUACGCACAAACCGCCCGUCACCCCCAUCUUUAAACAACAUUUGAAGAUGGGGCAAGUCGUAACAUGGUAAGCGCACCGGAAGGUGUGCUUGGAG